UGAGAUAUAGCAUAAUUAAUGCACUUCGUUUACACCGAAGUAUACUUAUUAUUUUAAGUUAUCUUAA
Molecule: transfer RNA, 67 nt
Filed under: Cacozeliana lacertina
Lineage: Eukaryota; Metazoa; Mollusca; Gastropoda; Cerithiidae
Description: tRNA-Val
Source: RNAcentral